This 486-nucleotide ribosomal RNA is filed under the name uncultured bacterium. RNAcentral describes it as "partial 16S ribosomal RNA". It matches the Rfam family "Bacterial small subunit ribosomal RNA", at positions 28 to 523 of the family's 1533-position model. The record is from RNAcentral.
GAUGAACGCUGGCGGCGUACUUAACACAUGCAAGUCGAACGGUGAACGAGGGAGCUUGCUCCCUCCGGAUCAGUGGCGAACGGGUGAGUAACACGUGAGCAAUCUGCCCUGGACUCUGGGAUAAGCGUUGGAAACGACGUCUAAUACCGGAUACGAGACGCGAAGGCAUCUUCAGCGUCUGGAAAGAACUUCGGUCCAGGAUGAGCUCGCGGCCUAUCAGGUAGUUGGUGAGGUAACGGCUCACCAAGCCUACGACGGGUAGCCGGCCUGAGAGGGUGACCGGCCACACUGGGACUGAGACACGGCCCAGACUCCUACGGGAGGCAGCAGUGGGGAAUAUUGCACAAUGGGCGCAAGCCUGAUCCAGCAACGCCGCGUGAGGGACGACGGCCUUCGGGUUGUAAACCUCUUUUAGCAGGGAAGAAGCGAAAGUGACGGUACCUGCAGAAAAAGCACCGGCUAACUACGUGCCAGCAGCCGCAGUAA